GAUAAACGCUGGCGGCGCACAUAAGACAUGCAAGUCGAACGGACUUAACUCGAAGUUUACUUUGAGAGCGGUUAGUGGCGGACUGGUGAGUAACGCGUGGGCAACCUGCCCUGUACAGGGGGACAACAGUUGGAAACGACUGCUAAUACCGCAUAAGCGCACAGCUUCGCAUGAAGCAGUGUGAAAAACUCCGGUGGUACAGGAUGGGCCCGCGUUGGAUUAGGUAGUUGGUGGGGUAACGGCCUACCAAGCCGACGAUCCAUAGCCGACCUGAGAGGGUGACCGGCCACAUUGGGACUGAGACACGGCCCAG
This 313-nucleotide ribosomal RNA is filed under the name uncultured bacterium. RNAcentral describes it as "bacterial SSU rRNA". It matches the Rfam family "Bacterial small subunit ribosomal RNA", at positions 28 to 334 of the family's 1533-position model. The record is from RNAcentral.